GCCUCCGAUUCCACCUUCCCACACUCCCCUUGUUUUCCUCCUCUGAGUACCCCAGACACUCACUUCUGGAUUUUGGAAGUACUAAAACAUGUCUUCUUUUCUCUUUAUCUACUAUCCAAAUUAGUCUUAGUUUCCUGGGGGAGCAGGGACCUCUCUCCAUGGUGGAGGGAGCCUCCAUUUGUCUCCUACCCCUCUCUCUACAUCUGUGUUCCAGGUGGAAAAUGCUUUUGCUUCUUGUUUACCUCCUCUUCAUAGAAACCAGAUCUUGCUGGUCCUCACUUGGAGGUAACCUCGGGUUCUGAAGAGCUUUGAGAAUCACUGUCCAUGAGCAGGCAGCCACUUCCUUACAGCAAGAAAGAUUCUAAGAGUCAUAAAUCAGCAUCCUGUAAAGGAUCAUUGAUGAGAUCGCCCUGUUCUCAGCAGCAUCUCGCAGCAGCAGCAGCAGCAGCAGCAGCAGCAGCAGCAGCAGCAGCAGCAGCAGCACCCAGGACUGGACACUGCCCGCCUCAGUGAUUGACAAGCUUCUGUGAUUAUUUCUGCUUGACUGUUGCGGAAUCGAUGCUGCUUAGAGAAGCAGCAAUGCCUUUAAAAGCCGUUAUGUCGUAGGAAACAAUAGCUACAUAAUAAAAUAG
RNAcentral lists this long non-coding RNA (632 nucleotides) under Rattus norvegicus (Norway rat). RNAcentral's name for it is "long non-coding RNA NONRATT033642". Lineage: Eukaryota; Metazoa; Chordata; Mammalia; Rodentia; Muridae. The record is from RNAcentral.